RNAcentral lists this microRNA (23 nucleotides) under Drosophila melanogaster (fruit fly). RNAcentral's name for it is "dme-miR-4953-3p". Lineage: Eukaryota; Metazoa; Arthropoda; Insecta; Diptera; Drosophilidae. The record is from miRBase by way of RNAcentral.
UUUUUUAUUGAAGGUCAUGGACA